RNAcentral lists this ribosomal RNA (332 nucleotides) under uncultured eukaryote. RNAcentral describes it as "partial 18S ribosomal RNA". It matches the Rfam family "Eukaryotic small subunit ribosomal RNA", at positions 592 to 976 of the family's 1831-position model. The record is from RNAcentral.
CAAUAGCGUAUAUUAAAGUUGUUGCAGUUAAAAAGCUCGUAGUUGAAAUUAGGCUUCUUAGUCUUUCUGAAUGUCAAUGGAUUUCAAUUAUGGUCCAUUGAAUUUUUCAGAUCUUUACUGUGAAAAAAUUAGAGUGCUCAAAGCAGGCUUUAGCUUGAAUAUUAAAGCAUGGAAUAAUAAAAUAUGACUUUGUUCAUUUUAUUGGUAUAUGAAUAGAGUAAUGAUUAACAGAAACAGUUGGGGGCAUUUGUAUUUGAUAGUCAGAGGUGAAAUUCUUAGAUUUAUCAAAGACAAACUAAUGCGAAAGCAUUUGGCAAGAAUGUUUUCAUUAA